AGAAUAAAGUGAAAGUCAUUCCGACGAACUGUUACACAAGUAUUUGGUAGACCUGAAAUCAUUUUGAUUGGUCAACAGAAUACAGUCCAUCAUGGAGUACGUCGGUACUACCAAAGGUGACGAAAAUGACAAAUGUUGUAAUUCAACUUUAUGUCCAGAAAUAGUAGCCAAUUCUAUGUCAGAUGAGAAUGCAUCAGAAAAAAUAAAUGUAGUCAGAACAGAUGAAGAAAAUGCUAGUGUACAACAGCAACAAGAACAUACCGAAGAUGCAGCUGCUGCUACAACAUCACAAACUAUAUCAGAAGAAAAAAUAGACUUUAAAGUAAUCUACAACAAACAGAAGAUAAAUGUUAAUUUUGCAUUAGAUGGGACCGUGGCUGAAUUGAAAACGCAUCUUCAAAAUAUUAUUUCAGUGCCCCAUGUAAUGCAGAAAGUUAUGUUUAAAGGAUUAGCCAAAGAUGAACAAACUCUUAGAAACUUGGGAGUUACAAAAGGUGCCAAAGUCAUGAUAGUAGGAUCAAAACUAGAUGACAUAUUAGCCGUAUCUAUUCCGUCAAAGCAAGAUCUCGCUGAUGAAGCUAGUUCUGCUGCAAGUAAGGAACCUUUAUCGCAACAAAAAGUACACCGUAAAGUUCUAGAUAAAGGUAUGCCGGAUGAUGUCAUGCCUGGUAUUUUAGAUAGUAAGGAACCACUACCUGAAUUUCCUAUCUCAGGUAUGUUGAAUAAAUCUGGUGGAAAGGUUAGACUUACAUUUAAAUUAGAACAAGAUCAGCUUUGGAUCGGUACAAAAGAAAGAACAGAUAAACUACCUAUGAACUCAAUAAAAGGUGUCAUUAGCGAACCAAUAACUGAUCAUCCAGAGUAUCAUAUUAUGGGUAUACAAUUAGGCACAACAGAAGCAUCAAGAUAUUGGAUAUACUGGGUUCCGGCACAAUACGUAUCAGCCAUCAAAGAUGCUAUUCUUGGAAAAUGGUGUUAUUUCUGAUCAAGUGCAAAUGGAAAUUUUGUUUUCUCGGAAAACAAUGUGUAAUCGAGUGUAAACAUUGACACAAAUACGAUUGUGCUAGUCACACACUUUUAACAGAAGAAGCGAAGAAAGAAGUUAUGAUGUUGCAUUUACUGACAUUUGAAGUUCGUCGAGAAAUAUUUCAUCUGAUUGUCAUAAUUGUGGACAUUUUUUAAUCAAUUGUUUACUUAUCAAAAAUCAAUUUAUUAGACAUUUGAAACAA
RNAcentral lists this unclassified non-coding RNA (1229 nucleotides) under Polistes fuscatus (common paper wasp). RNAcentral describes it as "ubiquitin domain-containing protein UBFD1-like, transcript variant X3". Lineage: Eukaryota; Metazoa; Arthropoda; Insecta; Hymenoptera; Vespidae. The record is from RNAcentral.